ACACAUGCAGUCGAGGGGUAACAUAGAGUGCUUGCACUCUGAUGACGACCGGCGGAUGGGUGAGUAACGCGUAUACAAUCUACCUGUAACAGGGGUAUAGCCCGAAGAAAUUUGGAUUAACCCCCCAUAGUAUUGUAGACCGGCAUCGGUUUACAAUUAAAACCUUGGUGGUUAUAGAUGAGUAUGCGUCCCAUUAGUUAGUUGGUAAGGUAACGGCUUACCAAGGCAGCGAUGGGUAGGGGUCCUGAGAGGGAGAUCCCCCACACUGGUACUGAGACACGGACCAGACUCCUACGGGAGGCAGCAGUGAGGAAUAUUGGACAAUGGGAGCAAUCCUGAUCCAGCCAUGCCGCGUGCAGGAAGACUGCCCUAUGGGUUGUAAACUGCUUUGUUACAGAAGAGAAGAAUUCGCCCAUUAACGUGGUAAUGGUUUGACGGUACUCUGGGAAUAAGGAUCUGGCUAACUCCGGUGCCAGCAGCCGCGGUAAUACGGAGGAUCCGAGGCGUUAUUCCGGAAUCAUUGGGUUUAAAGGGUCCCGUAGGCGGGCAGUUAAGUCAGUGGUGGAAAGUCUGUCGCUUAACGAUAGAAUUGCCAUUGAAACUGAUUGUCUUGAGUUAUUAUGAAGUGGUUAGAAUGAGUAGUGUAGCGGUGAAAUGCAUAGAUAUUACUCAGAACACCGAUUGCGAAGGCAGAUCACUAAUAAUAUACUGACGCUGAUGGACGAAAGCGUAGGUAGCGAACAGGAUUAGAUACCCUGGUAGUCUACGCCGUAAACGAUGGUCACUAGCUGUUCGGACUAAUUGCGGUCUGAGUGGUUAAGCGAAAGUGAUAAGUGACCCACCUGGGGGAGUACGUUCGCAAGAAUGAAACUCAAAGGAAUUGACGGGGGCCCGCACAAGCGGUGGAGCAUGUGGUUUAAUUCGAUGAUACGCGAGGAACCUUACCAGGGCUUAAAUGUAGUCUGACACGUCCCCGAMAGGGGAUUUUCUUCGGACAGAUUACAAGGUGCUGCAUGGUUGUCGUCAGCUUCGUGCCGUGAGGUGUCAGGUUAAGUCCUAUAACGAGCGCAACCCCUGUGGUUAGUUGCCAGCACGUAAUGGUGGGAACUCUAGCCAGACUGCCGGUGCAAACCGCGAGGAAGGUGGGGAUGACGUCAAAUCAUCACGGCCCUUACGUCCUGGGCCACACACGUGCUACAAUGGUAGGGACAGAGAGCAGCCACUUCGCGAGAAGGAGCGAAUCUACAAACCCUAUCACAGUUCGGAUCGCAGUCUGCAACUCGACUGCGUGAAGCUGGAAUCGCUAGUAAUCGCAUAUCAGCCAUGAUGCGGUGAAUACGUUCCCGGGCCUUGUACACACCGCCCGUCAAGCCAUGAAAGCCGGGGGUACCUGAAGUCGGUUGCCGCAAGGAGCCGCCUAGGGUAAGACUGGUAAUUGGGGCUAAGUCGUAACAAG
This 1456-nucleotide ribosomal RNA is filed under the name Salegentibacter sp. CAR-8049. RNAcentral describes it as "16S ribosomal RNA". It matches the Rfam family "Bacterial small subunit ribosomal RNA". The record is from RNAcentral. Lineage: Bacteria; Pseudomonadati; Bacteroidota; Flavobacteriia; Flavobacteriales; Flavobacteriaceae.